UACGUAGGGGCAAGCGUUGUCCGGAAUUAUUGGGCGUAAAGCGCGCGCAGGCGGUUUCUUAAGUCUGAUGUGAAAUCUUGUGGCUUAACCACAAGCGGUCAUUGGAAACUGGGGAACUUGAGUACAGAAGAGGAGAGUGGAAUUCCACGUGUAGCGGUGAAAUGCGUAGAGAUGUGGAGGAACACCAGUGGCGAAGGCGACUCUCUGGUCUGUAACUGACGCUAAGGUGCGAAAGCGUGGGGAGCGAACAGGAUUAGAUACCCGCGUAGU
This 270-nucleotide ribosomal RNA is filed under the name uncultured prokaryote. RNAcentral's name for it is "partial 16S ribosomal RNA". It matches the Rfam family "Bacterial small subunit ribosomal RNA", at positions 524 to 794 of the family's 1533-position model. The record is from RNAcentral.